GGCCCGGGCCGCAGCCCUAAACAUGCAGUCGAGCGGUAGCACAGAGAGCUUGCUCUCGGGUGACGAGCGGCGGACGGGUGAGUAAUGUCUGGGAAACUGCCUGAUGGAGGGGGAUAACUACUGGAAACGGUAGCUAAUACCGCAUAACGUCGCAAGACCAAAGUGGGGGACCUUCGGGCCUCAUGCCAUCAGAUGUGCCCAGAUGGGAUUAGCUGGUAGGUGGGGUAACGGCUCACCUAGGCGACGAUCCCUAGCUGGUCUGAGAGGAUGACCAGCCACACUGGAACUGAGACACGGUCCAGACUCCUACGGGAGGCAGCAGUGGGGAAUAUUGCACAAUGGGCGCAAGCCUGAUGCAGCCAUGCCGCGUGUGUGAAGAAGGCCUUCGGGUUGUAAAGCACUUUCAGCGGGGAGGAAGGCGGUGAGGUUAAUAACCUCAUCGAUUGACGUUACCCGCAGAAGAAGCACCGGCUAACUCCGUGCCAGCAGCCGCGGUAAUACGGAGGGUGCAAGCGUUAAUCGGAAUUACUGGGCGUAAAGCGCACGCAGGCGGUCUGUCAAGUCGGAUGUGAAAUCCCCGGGCUCAACCUGGGAACUGCAUUCGAAACUGGCAGGCUAGAGUCUUGUAGAGGGGGGUAGAAUUCCAGGUGUAGCGGUGAAAUGCGUAGAGAUCUGGAGGAAUACCGGUGGCGAAGGCGGCCCCCUGGACAAAGACUGACGCUCAGGUGCGAAAGCGUGGGGAGCAAACAGGAUUAGAUACCCUGGUAGUCCACGCUGUAAACGAUGUCGAUUUGGAGGUUGUGCCCUUGAGGCGUGGCUUCCGGAGCUAACGCGUUAAAUCGACCGCCUGGGGAGUACGGCCGCAAGGUUAAAACUCAAAUGAAUUGACGGGGGCCCGCACAAGCGGUGGAGCAUGUGGUUUAAUUCGAUGCAACGCGAAGAACCUUACCUGGUCUUGACAUCCACAGAACUUUCCAGAGAUGGAUUGGUGCCUUCGGGAACUGUGAGACAGGUGCUGCAUGGCUGUCGUCAGCUCGUGUUGUGAAAUGUUGGGUUAAGUCCCGCAACGAGCGCAACCCUUAUCCUUUGUUGCCAGCGGUUAGGCCGGGAACUCAAAGGAGACUGCCAGUGAUAAACUGGAGGAAGGUGGGGAUGACGUCAAGUCAUCAUGGCCCUUACGACCAGGGCUACACACGUGCUACAAUGGCAUAUACAAAGAGAAGCGACCUCGCGAGAGCAAGCGGACCUCAUAAAGUAUGUCGUAGUCCGGAUUGGAGUCUGCAACUCGACUCCAUGAAGUCGGAAUCGCUAGUAAUCGUAGAUCAGAAUGCUACGGUGAAUACGUUCCCGGGCCUUGUACACACCGCCCGUCACACCAUGGGAGUGGGUUGCAAAAGAAGUAGGUAGCUUAACCUUCGGGAGGGCGCUACCACUUUGGAUUUAAUUUCU
RNAcentral lists this ribosomal RNA (1449 nucleotides) under Klebsiella variicola. RNAcentral's name for it is "bacterial SSU rRNA". It matches the Rfam family "Bacterial small subunit ribosomal RNA". The record is from RNAcentral. Lineage: Bacteria; Pseudomonadati; Pseudomonadota; Gammaproteobacteria; Enterobacterales; Enterobacteriaceae.